This 207-nucleotide ribosomal RNA is filed under the name uncultured bacterium. RNAcentral describes it as "partial 16S ribosomal RNA". It matches the Rfam family "Bacterial small subunit ribosomal RNA", at positions 568 to 774 of the family's 1533-position model. The record is from RNAcentral.
CGCGUAGGCGGUUCGCUAAGUUGAAUGUGAAAACUCUGGGCUUAACCCAGAGCCUGCAUUCAAUACUGGCGGGCUAGAGUUCUGGAGGGGAUAGCGGAAUUCCUGGUGUAGCGGUGAAAUGCGUAGAUAUCAGGAGGAACACCGGUGGCGAAGGCGGCUAUCUGGACAGAGUCUGACGCUGAGGCGCGAAAGCUAGGGGAGCAAACA